GCGAGGGCACUAGUGGUCAGCAAUAGGUUACCAGGUAACUCUUCCCUUAUCUUAUUUCGAAACAUUGGGGACAAUGUUCGAUUCAAGUGUGGGAGGAGACUCUAUCGUCUUUUCUUUAUUAGCUUUCUCGUUUCUUUUCCUUUAUCGCUUUUUCUUUGGUAUUUUUAGAUAGUUUAUUUCCUUUUAGUUGUUUAUUUUGCUUUUUAGUAUAAUGCAUGAGUCUGACGAGUCACCAAAUAUAGUAGAUCUUUAGUACAAUCCUACCUCCCCAUACCUUUA
This 279-nucleotide long non-coding RNA is filed under the name Lathyrus oleraceus (garden pea). RNAcentral describes it as "Pisum sativum (pea) long non-coding RNA (PSAT_LNC032570)". Lineage: Eukaryota; Viridiplantae; Streptophyta; Magnoliopsida; Fabales; Fabaceae. The record is from RNAcentral.